CACCAGCACAAGCACCAGACGAUGCUGAUCCAGGUGAAAGCCCCAGUGCAGCAGCAACAGCACAUGAUGGAGACGAUGAUGAGGAGGAGACCAUCUCUCUGGAUUCCAGAAGGCAUGAGGACCCAGAUGCUAUACAGUGGGG
Long non-coding RNA from Carassius auratus (goldfish), 142 nucleotides. RefSeq lists it as uncharacterized. NCBI's taxonomy places the organism in Eukaryota, Metazoa, Chordata, Actinopteri, Cypriniformes, Cyprinidae. The transcript has 3 exons. The record is from RefSeq and is a predicted model, not a curated record.